UCCGUCACGCCUUUCUAACAGGUCGUCUCGGCCAACCUUCCAUCCCCUCCGUUUCUCUCCUCGCAUCGGGCAUGAGAACGCGCUUCGGUUAGACAAUUCUACGAACAGUUGACACACUCUCUCACUCUAUUCGCUGCCCGCAAGGCAAUGCAACAACCACCUUCACCACCGUGAAACGCCACCCGCAUCCACAAGUUCCACCCCUUAACUCCACCGCCCACAGUCAGUCCCUGCACUAACCCUCUCCCACCAAAACCCAUCACUUUCACUCCUUCAAUUCCCAACUCUUUCUUUUUUUCUCGUCAGAUGGCUUCUACAAGCUCAACGCCCAUCGUCCCUUCCACUCUUGCUCUACCCGAGGACAUGGCCGCCAGGGCCUUGAACAAACGCUAUGAAGGCCUCGUUACCGUGCGAACUAAGGCCAUCAAGGGGAAAGGAGCCUGGUACUGGACCCACUUAGAGCCUAUUCUCCUUCGCAACCCGGACACGAACCUCCCCAAAGCCGUCAAACUUAAGUGCUCCUUGUGCGAUGCCGUUUUCUCCGCCUCCAAUCCCUCCAGAACAGCCUCGGAGCACUUGAAGAAGGGCGCUUGCCCUAAUUACAGCUCCGUUUCCCGACCCAACAGCGGUUCUCUCUCGCCUUUACCGAUAUCCUCGGUGCCGUCGCCGUUACCGUCUUUACACAAUCACAGAAAGCGAAGCUCUCAAAUGGUUACUCAUCCUUUGCAUUCAUGCCCUUCUUCUUCGUACCAAGCUAGUUCUUUACCUUGGGUCGAGUCUUCGCGGUUCUAUCACAACCCAAACCACGACGGAUCGCAUUUCUCGCCACGCCAGAACACGGUUGGCACGCCGCGUAAUUCGGGGCUGAAUCAGCACCAUUUGGUCUUGUCGGGUGGGAAAGAGGAUUUGGGUGCACUGGCAUUGUUGGAAGAUAGUGUGAAAAGGCUCAAGAGUCCUAAAGGGUCAUCUGGUCCUGCUUUGAGCAAGGACCAGAUUGAUUCCGCACUUCAAUUGCUCGCAGAAUGGUUCUACGAGUCAUGUGGGUCUGUCUCAGUUUCGAGCCUCGAGCACCCCAAGUUUAGAGCGUUUCUAAACCAGGUGGGUUUGCCUGGGUUAUUGCGGCGCGAGCUCACGGGUGCUCGGCUUGAUGCUAAGUUCCAUGAGGUGAAGACUAAGUCGGAUGCUAGAAUAAGAGACGCUAUGUUUCUUCAGGUUGCUAGUGAUGGAUGGAAGGGAAAGAGUUGUUGUGGGUUUACUUGUGAUGGAGAGAAUUUGAUUAAAUUUACGGUUAAUCUUCCGAAUGGGACAAGUGAUUUUCAAAAGGUGGUGUUCACAGGAGGAAGGGUGUCAGCGAAGUAUGCAGAGGAGGUUUUAUGGGAAGCGGUAACUGGUGUGUGUGGGAGUGGUGUGCAGAGAUGUGUAGGGAUAGUUGCAGAUAAGUAUAAGGCCAAGGCAUUGAGGAACUUGGAGAUUCAGAAUCAUUGGAUGAUAAAUCUCUCUUGUCAGCUUCAGGGAUUUGUAAGUUUGAUCAAGGAUUUUAACAAAGAACUUCCACUUUUCAGGACUGUCACCGAGAAUUGCAUAAAAGUUGCAAAUUUUGUAAAUAAUACUUCUCAAGUUAGGAAUAGUUUCCUCAAGUACAAGAUGCAGGAACUUGAGUAUGCUGGGUUGCUGCGAGUUCCUUCGCCAAAAUGUGAUACUUCCAAGAAUUUUGGACCGGUUUAUGCGAUGUUGGAAGAUAUACUCAGCUGUGCCCAGGUGCUCCAAAUGGUUGUACUGGAUGAAACGUAUAAGGUGGCAUGUGUGGAGGAUUCAAUUGCAAGAGAGGUUGCUGGGCUGAUUCAAACCGGGGGGUUUUGGAAUGAGUUGGAGGCAGUAUUUUCGCUUGUCAAGCUGAUCAGAGAGAUGGUUCAGGAGAUUGCAGCUGACAGGCCAUUAAUUGGGCAAUGCCUACCUCUUUGGGAGGAGUUGAGGGGGAGAGUGAAGGACUGGUGUGCUAAAUUCAACAUUGCCGAGGGACCCGUCGAAAAAAUAUCUGAAAAGCGAUUCAGAAAAAACUACCACCCAGCAUGGUCGGCUGCAUUUAUACUGGACCCCCUUUACUUGAUGAGGGACACGAGUGGAAAAUACCUUCCACCAUUCAAGUGUUUGACGCAUGAGCAGGAGAAGGAUGUCGAUAAGCUCAUAACCAGGCUGGUUUCCAGGGAAGAAGCUCAUGUUGCAUUGAUGGAGCUCAUGAAAUGGAGGUCAGAAGGGCUCGACCCUCUUUAUGCUCAAGCCGUUCAGGUAAAACAGCGAGAUCCUGUUACUGGAAAGAUGAAAAUUGCAAACCCACAGAGCAGUAGACUUGUGUGGGAAACUUGCUUGAGUGAGUUUAAGUGUCUGGGUAAGGUUGCAGUGAGGGUCCUCUUCCUCCAUGCAACGUCUUGCGCGUUCAAGUGUAGUUGGUCUUCCAUGAAAUGGGUUUGGGUCCAAAGACACCCAAGGGUAGGCCUGGAAAGGGCUCAAAAAAUGAUAUAUAUUGCAUCUCAUGCAAAGCUUGAAAGACGGGAUUUUUCGAAUGAGGAAGAAAAGGAUGCAGAGCUGUUUGCAGUGGUGGGCAGUGAUGGUGAUGUGCUCAAUGAGGUCUUUUUCGAUGCAUCCUCAGUGGCUGGAUUUGCUUGAACUGGUUGGGGGAAGGGCAAACCGGAGUUGAUCACUACGAUGGUCAACCUUGUAAGAACUCAAGAAUUCUUGAGCAAAGUGGAAGCAAGGAGAGCUGUCAGUAUGAGGAGGCACAUAAGAUGGCUGAAAAGGAUAUUGCAACAAACUUGAAUUUUGGAUGUACAUUUUGGUGAAUAUUUUUCACUAAAAACCAGCAGGUUGGUGAUUCUAGAGGUGUUGAUAUUAUUUGCUUGCAGUUGUCAUGUACCUUUGUGCAGUGAUGCGGUGCUCUUAGCAUAUGGCAUUGCACUCUAUAUUUGGAUGGUUAUCUCAGUAGAAUUUUUCAAUAAACCCUGUCCUACCUUAUCUUAUUAUUGGAACCCCAUCAAAGCGGUUCGACUCUCUCUCUCUCUCUCUCUCUCUCUCUCUCUCUCUCUCUCUCUCUCUCUCUCAUGUUUUGUGCUUUAAAUUUUUCCACGCGCCUUGAGCAGUAAAAGGUGAAAUUUACAAAGUGGGUGUUGAGUAAAAAGUGAAGUAACAGUUUCUCUUCCUCGCCUUUUUAAUGGCUAGGCGAAGCAGUAGUAGAGUAGAGUGAGUGUAUUUGCUUUUUCUACUCAAAUCGAUGAAGAGACAAUGGAUCCUGUCGGCAAGGUUGAGCAAUGCUGACGACUGCUCACCAACUAGAAAGAAAAGCUCUUUCACUCGUAUGGUGAAAAUGAGUUGAGACAUGCUUCUCCAUUUUUCCCUGGGGCUUCCAGGGAUGGUCUUCUGCUCUUCGCUGUUCAAAAUGGUGUCCUAUGGUAUUGAAGGUCCCAAACAAAGUCUGGAAAUUUGCCGCUAUAGAGCACUCCCUGGGAGACUCAAAAGUUCUUCAUGGUUUAGACUGUGCACCCAUAAGAGUCUAGCAUGUUCUCAAAGAUUUCCUAUCUUAUUAACAGUACCAGGCAAUAAUGAACUUUCAUGAUUGUAAAUGAGGUCAUACUGGCAAUAAAGAUCAGCAACCUUUGAGAACAUCCCAACUCAGAUGGAUGCAAAGUUCUACCAAAUGAUUUUAUUACACCACGAGUUGAACCAUGAAGAGCUCAGAUCUCUCCUGUCUUGGAUUAACUUUAUUUUGUCAUGGAUUACUACAUUUUAUUUGUCAUGGUAUAAAGUGGAGAAACUGGAUGGACCAAUUAUGACAUGUGACAUAAAAAAAUCUAAUAUCUACUUAAUGAACAAGUGAUUCUUGAAAAUCUGUCUCAUAUUAUGAUACAAUCUGAGGAAGGAAAUACUUCACAACAUCGUCGUGAUAUAAAAGCCUAUCAAGUUCGGGCAAAGAAAGAUCGAUGCGCGCGCUUUACCGUGCUUAAUCAAUUUUUAGCUACUAGUUGAUAUCCCCUCAUAGGCAAUUUUUAGCUGAUUCAAUAUAUCUUGGGCAAUUGGGCGGUUCUCAAACUUCCAAAUAAGAGUAUUGUGCAUGCUGAUAAGCAUGGUAAAGCGCACGCACCGAUCUUUCUUUAUCCAAGCCUGAUUGACUUUCAUAUCACGACGAUAUUGAGAAAUAUUCUCCUUUUCAGGUUGUAUCAUAAGUUGAGAC
Juglans regia (Persian walnut) is the source of this 4222-nucleotide RNA transcript. RefSeq lists it as uncharacterized. The transcript has 5 exons. NCBI's taxonomy places the organism in Eukaryota, Viridiplantae, Streptophyta, Magnoliopsida, Fagales, Juglandaceae. The record is from RefSeq and is a predicted model, not a curated record.